This 392-nucleotide ribosomal RNA is filed under the name uncultured bacterium. RNAcentral describes it as "partial 16S ribosomal RNA". It matches the Rfam family "Bacterial small subunit ribosomal RNA", at positions 523 to 918 of the family's 1533-position model. The record is from RNAcentral.
AUACGGAGGAUGCGAGCGUUAUCCGGAUUUAUUGGGUUUAAAGGGAGCGUAGGCGGGAGCUUAAGUCAGCGGUUAAAUGGUGCGGCUCUACCGUGCCCUGCCGUUGAAACUGGGUUUCUUGAGAGUGCAAGAGGCGGAUGGAAUUCAUGGUGUAGCGGUGAAAUGCUUAGAUAUCAUGAAGAACACCGAUUGCGAAGGCAUCUCACGAAUCCGUCAUUGACGCUGAGGCACGAAAGCGUGGGGAUCAAACAGGAUUAGAUACCCUGGUAGUCCACGCAGUAAACGAUGAUGACUAACCGUCGGCGAUACACAGUCGGUGGCCAAGCGAAAGCGAUAAGUCAUCCACCUGGGGAGUACGUUCGCAAGAAUGAAACUCAAAUGAAUUGACGGGG